RNAcentral lists this ribosomal RNA (313 nucleotides) under uncultured bacterium. Its description in RNAcentral is "bacterial SSU rRNA". It matches the Rfam family "Bacterial small subunit ribosomal RNA", at positions 335 to 664 of the family's 1533-position model. The record is from RNAcentral.
ACUCCUACGGGAGGCAGCAGUGGGAAUAUUGCACAAUGGGGGAAGCCCAUCGAUGCAGCAACGCCGCGUGAGUGAUGACGGUCUUCGGAUUGUAAAGCUCUGUCUUCAGGGACGAUAAUGACGGUACCUGAGGAGGAAGCCACGGCUAACUACGUGCCAGCAGCCGCGGUAAUACGUAGGUGGCAAGCGUUGUCCGGAUUUACUGGGCGUAAAGCGCAUGCAGGUGGUUUGUUAAGUCAGAUGUGAAAGCCCGGGGCUCAACCUCGGAACUGCAUUUGAAACUGGCAGACUAGAGUACUGUAGAGGGGGUGAG